UAGCCUGCAUGUGCAGCACGAGCCGCUCAGUCGGCGAAGCCGCGAAUGGCUCAUUACAACAGCCAUAGUUUCUUGGACAGUGGCUUCCUACUUGGAUAACUGCGGUAAUUCUGGAGCUAAUACACGCACUCGGCCCGGACCCCCGUCACAGGGGGAACAGGCGCAUUUAUUAGACACAGAGCCAACACGGCCGUCGGCGCGAGCCGGCGCGCCGGAUUCUCAUUGGCGAAUCUGAAUAACCUGGCGGAUCGCUCGGUCUUUGCACCGGCGACGCGUCCUUCAAAUGUCUGCCUUAUCACGUUUCGACGGCCAUGUAGUGAAUGGUCGUGCGAUUCACGGGUAACGGAGGAUCAGGGUUCGACUCCGGAGAGGGAGCCUGAGAAACGGCUACCACAUCUAAGGAAGGCAGCAGGCGCGCAAAUUACCCACUCUCGGCGCGGGGAGGUAGUGACGAAAUGUAACGAGGCGGUUCUCUUCGAGGCCCGUCAUCGGAAUGGGCGCGACUUAAACCAGCCCAGCGAGGAUCUAUU
RNAcentral lists this ribosomal RNA (530 nucleotides) under uncultured eukaryote. RNAcentral's name for it is "bacterial SSU rRNA". It matches the Rfam family "Eukaryotic small subunit ribosomal RNA", at positions 46 to 549 of the family's 1831-position model. The record is from RNAcentral.